CCUCAGCCUACAUGCAAGACUCCAUCGCAGCUUCCCUUCUGCAAAGCUGCAGAGACAGAUACCGUCACCAUGAUGUGCCAUCAACAUUUUCUGUAUUUGCUGGAUCUCCAAACAACGCGCCUCUGUUGAUUAUCUUUGAAGGCAGGCCUUGCCCUGGUUAUUCGGAAACAGGCGCUACGCCAACUAAAUGAUGGCAUUCGUCCCAAUUGGAGUUUUCGUAAAAAUAAAUAUAGAUGUUAACA
Molecule: long non-coding RNA, 242 nt
Organism: Rhipicephalus sanguineus (brown dog tick)
Lineage: Eukaryota; Metazoa; Arthropoda; Arachnida; Ixodida; Ixodidae
Exons: 2
Source: RefSeq, a predicted model, not a curated record